AAGGAUCAUUAGUGAAUUUAGCGCAUCUUUUUUAACAAAGAGCGUGACCCUCUCACUUUUCAAACUCUGUGCACUAUUUUGGCGAAGGAAUUAAGUUUCCUUUGCGGCUCAUCUUUUAAACAUCAAGUCAGAGAAUGUAAAGAAAUUUUAUAACAAAAAAAAACUUUCAACAACGGAUCUCUUGGCUCUCGCAUCGAUGAAGAACGCAGCGAAAUGUGAUAAGUAAUGUGAAUUGCAGAAUUCAGUGAAUCAUCGAAUCUUUGAACGCAUCUUGCGCUCGCUGGUAUUCCGGCGAGCAUGUCUGUUUGAGUGUCGUGAACUCUUCAACCCCCAAAUUUUGUAAGGAGAUUUGGUGCGGCUUGGUUUCUGAGCGCUUGCUGGAUUAGUAAAUAAUCGAAGCUCGUUCGUAAUAUAUUAGCAUUCUUCUCUUCGAAGUCAGAUUGACUCGGCGUAAUAGACUAUUCGCUGAGGACAUACUUAGGUAUGGCUGACCUUUGAUAUUAUUUGCUGGAAGCUUAUAAACCCCGACAAUUUAGUCAAAUCCCUAAGAUUAGACCUCAGAUCAGAUAGGAUUACCCGCUGAACUUAAGCAUAUCAAUAAGCGGAGGAAAAGAAACUAACAAGGAUUCCCCUAGUAACGGCGAGUGAAGCGGGAAGAGCUCAAAUUUGUAAUCUGGCACUUUCAGUGUCCGAGUUGUAAUCUCGAGAAGUAUUUUCCGCGCCGGACCGCACACAAGUCUGUUGGAAUACAGCGUCAUAGUGGUGAGAACCCCGUAUCUGGUGCGGAUGCCCGGUGCUUUGUGAUAUACUUUCGAAGAGUCGAGUUGUUUGGGAAUGCAGCUCAAAUUGGGUGGUAAAUUCCAUCUAAAGCUAAAUAUUGGCGAGAGACCGAUAGCGAACAAGUACCGUGAGGGAAAGAUGAAAAGCACUUUGGAAAGAGAGUUAACAGUACGUGAAAUUGUUGGAAGGGAAACGCUUGAAGUCAGACUUGCAUUUCGGAGUUCAGCCGCAAGGUGUAUUCUUCGAUUCGCAGGCCAGCAUCAGUUUUCGGGGGUGGAAAAGCGCGGUUUGAAGGUAGCAGUCUCGGCUGUGUUAUAGCUUUCCGCUGGAUUCACUUUUGGGGACUGAGGAACGCAGUACGCUUUUAGCAAGAUUCGCGAGUCUUUCGUACUUAGGAUGCUGGUGGAAUGGCUUUAAACGACC
Molecule: ribosomal RNA, 1203 nt
Filed under: uncultured Microbotryales
Lineage: Eukaryota; Fungi; Basidiomycota; Microbotryomycetes; Microbotryales
Description: eukaryotic LSU rRNA
Rfam family: Eukaryotic large subunit ribosomal RNA (bases 553-1203)
Source: RNAcentral